Drosophila ananassae is the source of this 4711-nucleotide RNA transcript. It is a transcript of the gene named signal transducer and transcription activator, with no coding region annotated. The record is from RefSeq and is a predicted model, not a curated record. The transcript is spliced from 10 exons. NCBI's taxonomy places the organism in Eukaryota, Metazoa, Arthropoda, Insecta, Diptera, Drosophilidae.
UCAAUCGUUCGCUGGCAACAUUCGGCCGAACGAUUGAAAACUACGUUGAAAACACUACGUUGAAUUGUAUCUUUCGGAACUUUGGAAUCGUCGCACCAGCCGCGUAGGAGGUGCUCGCGGAGGUUAGCUCAAGAAGUGCCCUGUUCUUAGUGCGCCACUAGUUGAAUCCGUGUCCUUGCAAAGUGCACCUCCUCUUGGGGAUACUCGCCUUCUGCUCGAAUUUCGCGACCGUGACCGUGCGAGUGGGUAUCCUAUCCUGGUGUCUCUCGGCGUCGCUGCAGGCGUCAGGCGUCAGUGAGAGCGCGAUUUAAAAAUAAAACGGCAAAUACAUAACAAAAUAUCGAAGAGCAGUCGCCACCGCCGCCGCCAAGCAGCAGAAGCAACACCCAUACACACUCGUGUGGGCCUGCACUGGUGUUUGUGUGCCAAAGUUCCCUCCUAACCAUACUAAACAGAAACACACUCAGACAAACACCGUCUCGUCUCGGUCGCAUGUGAAUGCAUUUUAUGGACGCCCCAGACUCACUUGCCCGCGGAAGCCUCGAUCGGAGCCCUGGUCGGUCCAAGAGCCUCCCCAAAUCGAAACUGUAACAGAGACCGAAGACGAACCACAAUCACACUGAUCACCAUAUCCAUUCAGCUGUCCAACCCAGCCAAGCAUCCACCAUACUCACAAACCAAACCAAACCAAACCAAGCCACACGAAUCAAUCAGAUCAGAUCUCAUCAUCCAUUGGGUAGAGCAAGAGCAUGAGCCUGUGGAAGCGCAUCUCCAGCCAUGCCGACUGCGAGCAGCGUAUGGCGGCCUACUACGAUGAGAAGGGCCUGUUCGACCUGCGCAUCUGCUUGGCGCCCUGGAUCGAAGACAGGAUAAUGUCCGAGCAGAUCACACCCAAUUCCCCGGAGCAGUUGGAGCGAGUGGCCCACAAGUUCAACGAGGAUUUGCAGCAGAAACUCCUCUCGACGCGCACCGCCAGCGACCAGGCCCUCAAGUACCGUGUUGUGGAGCUCUGCGCCCUCAUCCAACGCACCCCCGCCCUUGAGCUCUACACCCAUCUGCGAAGCGGGCUCCAGAAGGAGCUCCAGUUGGCCACCGAGAAGAGUGUGGCUUCCAGUGCCGGGCAGUCGAUGCCAAUGCCAUACAACAUGAACAACGCCGGCUACAUGGACACCAGCGACAUAAUGGUGGGGGUGACUAAUGGUGCCAUGGCCCCCAGCCACAACGUCGUUCCAUCUCCCGGACUGGGAAUGGUCACCCCGAAGGUGGAGCUGUACGAGGUGCAGCACCAGAUCGUGUCCACCCUCCACGAGUUCACCAGUUGCCGCAACGCUCUGAACGGCCUCGUCCAGAACUACACCUAUAUGAUGAACUCGAUGCCAUCGCCCAACGCCGAGGUGCUCCUCAAGAGCCUCCUUGACGAGAAGGCCUCCAUUGUCAAUCUACUGCGGCGCAGCUUUAUGUACUACGAGACCCUGAACGACCUGGUCAUCCACGAGCUGAAGAACUGGCGGCGCCAGCAGGCCCUCGCCGGCAACGGAGCUGCCUUCAACGAAGGCGCCCUGGACGACAUCCAGCGCUGCUUCGAGAUGCUGGAGGCACUGGUGGCCCAAAUGCUAGAGGCUGUCAACGAGCUAAUUCGCGUGCAGCUGGGCACCGAUGAGCCAGAACUAAUCCAUCUGCGGGAGCAGGUGAAGAUUGCACAGAAGAACCUGGUGAUAUCCGCCUUCAUAGUGGACAAGCAGCCGCCGCAGGUGAUGAAGACCAACACACGCUUUGCCGCCUCGGUGCGCUGGCUCAUUGGCUCCCAGCUGGGCAUCCACAACAACCCACCCACCGUGGAGUGCAUCAUUAUGUCAGAAUUGCAGUCGCAACGCUUCGUGUCCCGCGGCACCCAGCUGGAAAGCACCAUGUCCGGGCAAUCCUCGGGUGAAAUUCUAAACGCCUCCAGCAGCAUGGAGUACCAGUCGAACAACCACGUCUUCUCCGCCAGUUUCCGCAACAUGCAGCUGAAGAAAAUCAAGCGUGCCGAGAAGAAGGGCACUGAGAGCGUCAUGGACGAGAAGUUCGCUCUCUUCUUUUACACAACCACGUCGGUGAAUGACUACCACAUCCGCGUCUGGACCCUUUCUCUGCCUGUGGUGGUGAUCGUGCACGGCAAUCAGGAGCCCCAGUCGUGGGCCACCAUUACCUGGGACAAUGCCUUCGCGGAGGUUAUCCGCGAACCGUUUGUAAUCACCGAUCGGGUCACCUGGCCCCAGCUAUCGGCGGCACUAAACACAAAGUUCGGAUCCAGCACACAGCGCUUCCUGACGGCGGACAACCUGGAGUUCCUCUUUGAGAAACUUCAGCGGGAGGAGCGCUCCGAGUAUAUUACGUGGAACCAAUUCUGCAAGGAGCCCAUGCCCGACCGGACGUUCACUUUCUGGGAAUGGUUCUUUGCCAUCAUGAAACUCACCAAAGACCACAUGUUGGGCAUGUGGAAGGCUGGCUGCAUCAUGGGCUUCAUCAACAAGGCCAAGGCGCAGGAUGCCUUGUUGCGUUCGAAUACGGGAAUCGGGACCUUCCUGCUUCGCUUCUCCGACAGCGAGCUCGGUGGUGUCACCAUUGCCUACGUGAACGAAAUGGGAUCGGUCACCAUGCUGGCUCCUUGGACGGCCCGUGACUUCCAGGUCCUUAACCUGGCUGAUCGCAUCCGCGACUUGGAUGUUCUUCGCUGGCUUCACCCCUCUGACACCACUAUGGUGGCCCAGCUGCGCGACCGCGCCUUCGGCGAGUUCUUCUCGAGGCGUCAGGAACGAAACCCCCGCUCUCUAGAACCCUCCCCCGGAUAUGUGCCGAGCACGCUGCACGUCCAGGUCUGUAGCAGCAACGGCGAUGGUGGAUCCAUCAGCGGCACUCCGCAGCACGUGCCGCAGCAAGACACCUUACCAAUGGGAAAUGUUUCGCCAUUGAGCAUUGUGCCCUAUUUGAAUAGCCCACGAACUGAGGAUUCCGAUUCCGAUGACAGCCAGGUGGCCGAAGCACUGGGCCAGAUCCUUGCUAAUACCCCGCCCAACCACCCCCUCUUGGAUCAGUUCAAUAACUCGCUCCUGGGUAUCACAGAGAUCAGUAACGCCUUGAGGGAUAGCCUAAUAAGUGACGAGUCACCAAGUGCCAGUGAUCUAGUGGACGAACUGAUGAGGGAUGACGAUAAUCUCGUGCUGCGAUCCUGUAGAUCGGGAGUUAGAAAUUUUUAUUGACAAGAAAAGAGAUAAAACACGCUGUGCCAUUGCCUUCACUCUGUCUAUCUAAUCUGCCACCGGUUCUGACACUUACCGCAAGCGGUGAUUUCGGAAUGACGGACUUUGAUUCGAUGACGAACUUUGAGCUUUUGUGAAUCGCCAAACAACCUCCAGAACAACAUCCACCACAACAACAUGAAUUUGAACUACCAGAGCAAUGCAUGCAAAUUGCGACACCUGAACACAAACACCUUUGCCACACAACCAGAACAUUUCUUAUAUCGUGAUUAUGAUUGUGUCUGACGUAUGCAGCCAGUUCCUUAUGGAAUGCCUGCCUUGUAUAAACCUAUGGAAUGUGUCCCGAGCAUGUGUUAUUCGUUUUGUAUUUUUAUGUAUAACUCUUUAUAUAUGUAGACAUAUACUUUGAUUUUUUUGUACCAUUGCGUUUUUCUGUGACAAAGCAUUACUUUUAAACGAUGCGACCUGCGACCGAUGGCGAGGAUAACUGGCUGGCGGAGCAUCGCUUUAGUUAGUUAGUAACUAUUUGUUGAAUCUAAAUUUAUGAGUUUAAUUUGAAUCGAUUACGUUUAACAACUAAGUGUAAAAUUUACCAUAUUUUGCGUGCUAAGACCUAUGUUUAGAGCGAUUUAGAGCGACGAAGAGGAAAUCGAACGACGAGCAGCCCUGCGAGAUAAGAAUUGCGUUAAUUUUAGUUAUGUAUCAUGUAAGAACCAUUGUGAAUUUGCUUUAUGUCAAAACACCCUCCUUUAAUUGGCUUCCAAUGCUGAAAGUGCGUAAAAUUUAACCAAUCCAUGUAUAUUUUUAGUUUGUUUGAGUCAGGGCACAGAUUGCAAUGCAUUUCAAAUGCAAUAGCCUAUUGCCUUUAGUCAGUUUACCAGAGACACGAGGGGAACCAACACAAAGUUUAUAUAUAUGCGACAAUGUAAGCAUAAUCAUCUAUGUAACAACUACAAUAACACACGAGUACACUAAGCUUUGCACGUGAACCUUUAUAAGACUUAAGACCACCCUCAAAAUAAAUGAGUAACUUAGUAAACAUUUCAAAAACACUUAACGCCCAGAGUGGAGUUUGUAGCGAGUGACCUUGUUCACUAUUUGAGAACCUAUAUCCGAAAUGUCAAUUGGUGUACGUCAAGUUUUUAAUAUAUAAUUGUGAAAACUCGCGCACAAACGCAUUCCCCAAACACACAAUCAGACACCGACACUGACACCCACCCACUACCCUCAGAACACACACACUUCGAUACACAACGACGAGCAGACAGGCUCGCCAAAAACCAUGUUGAUAUUUGGGAAUCGUAAUGUCCUGUCCACACUGUGUACUCGACCUAAUUGUCUACAUUGUGUAAGUGUUUUAAAUGUAAUUUCAAACGAUAAUUGGGUGUGCAGUUUCGAAACGUUAAGUGGGAAGUAACUAAAGAACUAUUCUUGUCAAAAUGGCCAAUAAAGAUUUGAUUUUAAAAAUUAAA